RNAcentral lists this ribosomal RNA (492 nucleotides) under uncultured bacterium. Its description in RNAcentral is "partial 16S ribosomal RNA". It matches the Rfam family "Bacterial small subunit ribosomal RNA", at positions 29 to 507 of the family's 1533-position model. The record is from RNAcentral.
AGUGAACGCUGGCGGUAGACCUAACACAUGCAAGUCGAACGGCAGCACAGUAAGAGCUUGCUCUUACGGGUGGCGAGUGGCGGACGGGUGAGGAAUGAAUCGGAAUCUACUUUUUCGUGGGGGAUAACGUAGGGAAACUUACGCUAAUACCGCAUACGACCUACGGGUGAAAGCAGGGGAUCUUCGGACCUUGCGCGAUUGAAUGAGCCGAUGUCGGAUUAGCUAGUUGGCGGGGUAAAGGCCCACCAAGGCGACGAUCCGUAGCUGGUCUGAGAGGAUGAUCAGCCACACUGGAACUGAGACACGGUCCAGACUCCUACGGGAGGCAGCAGUGGGGAAUAUUGGACAAUGGGCGCAAGCCUGAUCCAGCCAUACCGCGUGGGUGAAGAAGGCCUUCGGGUUGUAAAGCCCUUUUGUUGGGAAAGAAAAGCAGCAGGUUAAUACCCCGCUGUUCUGACGGUACCCAAAGAAUAAGCACCGGCUAACUUCGUG